This 447-nucleotide ribosomal RNA is filed under the name uncultured bacterium. Its description in RNAcentral is "bacterial SSU rRNA". It matches the Rfam family "Bacterial small subunit ribosomal RNA", at positions 29 to 521 of the family's 1533-position model. The record is from RNAcentral.
AACGAACGCUGGCGGCAUGCCUAACACAUGCAAGUCGAACGAGACCUUCGGGUCUAGUGGCGCACGGGUGCGUAACGCGUGGGAAUCUGCCCUUGGGUUCGGAAUAACAGUUGGAAACGACUGCUAAUACCGGAUGAUGACGUAAGUCCAAAGAUUUAUCGCCCAAGGAUGAGCCCGCGUAGGAUUAGCUAGUUGGUGAGGUAAAGGCUCACCAAGGCGACGAUCCUUAGCUGGUCUGAGAGGAUGAUCAGCCACACUGGGACUGAGACACGGCCCAGACUCCUACGGGAGGCAGCAGUGGGGAAUAUUGGACAAUGGGCGAAAGCCUGAUCCAGCAAUGCCGCGUGAGUGAUGAAGGCCUUAGGGUUGUAAAGCUCUUUUACCCGGGAUGAUAAUGACAGUACCGGGAGAAUAAGCCCCGGCUAACUCCGUGCCAGCAGCCGCGAU